Molecule: ribosomal RNA, 371 nt
Filed under: uncultured eukaryote
Lineage: Eukaryota
Description: partial 18S ribosomal RNA
Rfam family: Eukaryotic small subunit ribosomal RNA
Source: RNAcentral
CAAUAGCGUAUAUUAAAGUUGUUGCAGUUAAAAAGCUCGUAGUUGAAUCUUGGGAGCGGGUGGGCUAGCGAGCCACAGCCCGUCCCUGCUUCUUGCCUCUCGGUGCCCCCUGGAUGCUCUUAGCUGAGUGUCCUGUGGCCCGAAGCACUUACUUUGAAAAAAUUAGAGUGUUCAAAGCAGGCCCAAGCCGCCUGGAUACUGCAGCUUGGAAUAAUGGAAUAGGACCACAGUUCUAUUUUGUUGGUUUUCGGAACUGAGGCCAUGAUUAAGAGGGACGGCCGGGGGCAUUCAUAUUGCACCGCUAGAGGUGAAAUUCUUGGACUGGCAGUUUAGACCAGAGCGAAAGCAUUUGCCAAGAAUGUUUUCAUUAA